CAGGGUGAUAUUGACAGAGUCGACGACUUGGACACCAACAUUUUCUGCCGAAUAUUUGCAAACACCGUCGACUCCAACAUACGGAUAAGCAGCCUCGGUGUCAAGACCGCCAUUGUACUUGAUGUACUCAAAUGCUUGAGAUGGCAACCCACCACUGCAGCCGUUAUUGUUGAAAGCGCCAGCGCAAUCCACAAGCUGCUGCUCAGAUAGGGAGAUCUGCUUUCCGAAGGCCUGCACAUACGCUGCCUCGAGAGCUCCAGUGGUGCUGCAUCAGCCAUAUAUUAGUGUUAGACAUUCGAAAUACACGAUAAUUAGUAUGCCUUAACUUACAAUUUGCAUCCGGUAAUCAUCGAAAAUACUCAAGCUAGGAAAUAAACCUGAAUGUCCAGCAAGAUCCACAGUGACCUUGAUCUUUAACUGGAGUCACUAUGCCUUCUUCUUUCCAGUUUUUCUGUACAUAUACACAAAGGAACAGUCGAUAUUAACUUCAAAGCGGUAGAUCUAGCUAGCUACGCGUUUAUUAGUAACUGAUCAUAACAAUUGAUUAUAAUUGAUGUAAUUAAUGUGCCGAUUUACUGCACAAUAGGGGUUUCUCUUACAUUUUCCUUUGUCUUAAUAUAAAGUUGCAAAAAAUAUUGCAGCAGCAAAUGACUAUUUACCGAGUCAGGGAGAACGGCAUCAGUGAGCUUGUGGUUGCCCUUUGUGGUGGCGGAGCAGUUCUGAGCAGCUCCCAACCUGUGCCUUGUGAACUCUUCCCAGCUCCAAUCAGCAAACC
Molecule: long non-coding RNA, 775 nt
Filed under: Malus domestica (apple)
Lineage: Eukaryota; Viridiplantae; Streptophyta; Magnoliopsida; Rosales; Rosaceae
Description: long non-coding RNA (MDOM_LNC014770)
Source: RNAcentral